GAUGAACGCUGGCGGCGUGCCUAAUACAUGCAAGUCGAGCGAACAGACGAGGAGCUUGCUCCUCUGACGUUAGCGGCGGACGGGUGAGUAACACGUGGAUAACCUACCUAUAAGACUGGGAUAACUUCGGGAAACCGGAGCUAAUACCGGAUAAUAUAUUGAACCGCAUGGUUCAAUAGUGAAAGACGGUUUUGCUGUCACUUAUAGAUGGAUCCGCGCCGCAUUAGCUAGUUGGUAAGGUAACGGCUUACCAAGGCAACGAUGCGUAGCCGACCUGAGAGGGUGAUCGGCCACACUGGAACUGAGACACGGUCCAGACUCCUACGGGAGGCAGCAGUAGGGAAUCUUCCGCAAUGGGCGAAAGCUUGACGGAGCAACGCCGCGUGAGUGAUGAAGGUCUUCGGAUCGUAAAACUCUGUUAUUAGGGAAGAACAAAUGUGUAAGUAACUAUGCACGGCUUGACGGUACCUAAUCAGAAAGCCACGGCUAACUACGUG
RNAcentral lists this ribosomal RNA (497 nucleotides) under uncultured bacterium. Its description in RNAcentral is "partial 16S ribosomal RNA". It matches the Rfam family "Bacterial small subunit ribosomal RNA", at positions 28 to 507 of the family's 1533-position model. The record is from RNAcentral.